ACAGAACAAGAGGAGGAAACAAAGUCCCACUCAAAGUGUAUAUUUCACACACGUGCAGGGGGCUCACACAUGUCAGCUCCACAUGAGCCCCUAUCCACACACACACACACACACACACACACACACACACACACACACACACACACACACACACACACACACACACACACACACCAUGCGGGCAUGUGCAAGCACUGCCCACUAUGGUGCAGGAAUGGCCAUUGAAACAGUGCUUCCCGCACUAAACGACCUUUCCUGGUCACCUUCAGACGUGCACGAGCAUCGUCCCCGUGCUCAUCGUCAUAACAACGGGAGGGGGUCCCGAUCCGUGCCGAGGACCUCCAGUAGGCCUCCUGCAACCAAUCCAAGAGCGAGAGAGCGACCGAUGGUGCGCCACACGCCUCCCCCGUGUCCCUGCGCAAGGUUACCGGGCCGGCCCAACUCAACCCCACCCGGAGCGGGUCCCCCGGCCGCGGAUCGUUACCACAUCGAAUCGACCCCCCCGCUGCUCAGCGCUGCAGGUGCGACGGGGCCGUAACCGGGACAAACAACAACGGCGCAGCCCGGCGCACACUGGCGAGGAGAGCGGCAGCCUCCAUCCGCGGACACGGGACACGCACCGAUGGGUGGAGGGAUGGGUGGAGAUCCGUGGCUACACACACGCGCAUUCACGCGCGCACACGCGCACACACGCAUUCUCCCUCAUGAUGCAUGCCAGCAGAAUGAUGACAGCGGAGUGCGGCCUGUGCUGAGACGUGCCACAUUCGGCCCACUUUCCCGCUGGUCCGUGCUACAUGCUACCGACGCAUCGCGGCGCGUCUCCACGCACAGAAUCACGGGUAGAGGGCAGUGACGCACGCGGGCGCGCACGGACUCACCGUGCAGGCCGAGCUCAAGGACAUCCGCGCGCGAGCGGGGAGGCAGAAUCCCCUUUAAUCUGCGUGCGCGUGGAGCGGAGAACGUCCCGAGCCGGAGGAGAGCGGCUGUGGGUCGGGCGGGGGGGCGGGAGGGGGUCGCAGAAGGCGGUCGCAGACGCGCAGGGAUGAGAGACGACGACGGCGCCGAUGGAUGCUCCGCUCCGGCACCCGACGGUCGGCUGGCGGGGAGACAGGGAGACAGAGAGACAGGGAGACAGGGAGACAGGGAGACAGACAGGGAGAGGAUGCGCCGGGUUGGGGUUUUAAACACCUCCGUUGCAGGGGGGGGGGGGGCAGUCCGCGCGCCAGACGAUGGGCUAGCUGCUAAUAUGGCAGAAUCAGGUUAACUGUUAAGGGCACUGCGAGAAAAAGAAAAGGAAAAACGAAAAGAGACGCCGCGCUGAGAGGAGAAGCUCAUGCGACAUCUUCGGAGGAGGAGGAGGGGUUCAGCCACUGACAGAGCCGCCCGCACAGGAGCUCGGUCGCAGCAUCCGAGAGAGGAAGUGAUGGAGGGGGGAGGGAUGCUGACGCGUCACCCCCACCGGCUGACAGCGUGAUGACGACAGCGAGCCGCCGCAGUGCAGCCGCCUCACCUCCGGAGUUUAAGAGCAAUAGUUGGAAUGCUGUUCAAGAACUAUUGCUCUUCACAUCGUUAUUCAACUCCUUCAUAUUCAUACACAUGUUUCUCCCACGCCACAUUCCAGCUCCUCCAAAUCAUCAGCUAUUAAACCCGUUCAGCUAUCAACAUUCAGGACUUUACCUCUUGAAUUAUAUAAAUCAAUAUUCUAAAUAAUUGAAAAAAGGUUCUUCAAAUUUCAAAUCCUUCUUCUUCUUCAAUCUUUACAACCACCCUUUGAACUCAGAAAAUCAGCUUGUUGAGAUCUAUUCAAUUCCUUCAAUAUCACUGAUUAUCUUUCAUCAGGAAACAUUUAUUGGCAUAAUAUUCCAUAAUAUAUAUAUAUAUAUUAUUGCCAUAAUAUGUCAGACAUAAGGAAUGUGACUUGGCGGUUGGUGCGUGACAGCAGACAGUGAACAAGACAACAGUGCACGAGGAAUAAGAUCAAAUAUAAUGCGUUCAGGAGUUUUUCAGAGCGUUUCGGGAAUUUUCAUGUGUGUGCAAACGAGAAAUAAUGCAAACUGACAUGAUGGAGUGGAGGGGAGCGUCAGAAUGAUCUAUUUUGCUUUAAUUAUAUUUUAUGAGUAAAGUUUAAUAUGCAGGAAAAUGCCCUGCUCUUUACGUGAUGUAACCACCAGAUCCAGGACGAGUUUCCCUGAAUCUCAACGUGCAGCUUGAAUCAGAGUUCAUGUCCGAGCAGGAGGAACCCACUCUCAAUCUUCUCAACCUCUUCCACUCAGUGCAGCCGUGGAGCUGAGGCUGAAGGCUGAAGGCUGAAGGCUGAAGGCAUCAAGACAUCCAGCAUCUCGAGCACGACCAGAGAUGCUGUCAUUCAGGGUCGACCUCGUGGAGUCGAUGGGUCAACUCAUAAAGAGUGUGAUGAUGCUGGUGAAGACGCUGUUUCACAGGAUCUUGCAAUACAAAAGAUGAAAAUCUACAGGAACAAGACGAACACGUCGGAGAGUCCAGACGUCGGUAUCGUGUUGGACGGAGUAAAAGUUCUGACUGCACCGAGGGACUUUCCAAGGGCUUUCUGUCUGCUGGUUGGGUUUGCGUGUGCAGUCAAUCUUUCACAUUCAAAGAAACUUAAACACAUUUAAGGUGUUCCAAGUUUUUUGGAGCUGAACUGUUCAAACCUUUGACCCCUGAAGAAAAAAAGGGGAUUGUUGUUACUGUUAGAACUCUCCAGUGUGGUUACUGUUUGUUCAAUGCAUUUUAAUUAUAUUUUUAAGAUUCACAUUGAGAAGUUUAGGUUUGGCUCUUUCCUGGAGUUUAGUUUUAGUGUUGCUAUCUAGUGUUAAUGCUGCUUUAUUUGUGUUGUUCAAAUGUAUAUAAACCAUGCUCAUUUAAUGCAGCUUUUCCUGUAUGUAUUUAUAGAAAUUGGCACAAAUAAAGUUUAACCUGCUGUACUUAUGUAUGAUGAUGUGUUUGUAAAGUUAAGUUAAGUGAUCUAGACAUAGAAAAAUUGUGGCAACAAAGUGACACGUAAUUGUAUUGAAUAGAUUUAAACAAUUAAUUUAAGUCCAGAAGGGCAAUGGUAAUGUGUUGAAUUAACUAACAAUGUGCUAAAAUGUGAGUUGAUAUAACUUAUUUUAUUCAGUAAAUCAAAUUUAAUUUUACCAAGAUUAGUAGUAUAUAACACUCAAUUUCAGUAAAUAUACAUACAUUCCACCCAAAUAUUCAGUAACUGCUAAUCAAUUACACCCAAAUAUUCAGUAACUAAAUCAAUUCCACCCAAAUAUUCAAUAACUGCUAAUCAAUUCCACCCGAAUAUGAAGUAAAUAUAAAUUAAUUCCACCCAAAUAUUCAGUAACUGUAAAUCAAUUACACCAGAAUAUUAAGUAAAUAUAAA
Long non-coding RNA from Gasterosteus aculeatus aculeatus (three-spined stickleback), 3385 nucleotides. NCBI's taxonomy places the organism in Eukaryota, Metazoa, Chordata, Actinopteri, Perciformes, Gasterosteidae. The record is from Ensembl.